This 274-nucleotide long non-coding RNA is filed under the name Elaeis guineensis (African oil palm). RNAcentral's name for it is "long non-coding RNA (EGUI_LNC048044)". Lineage: Eukaryota; Viridiplantae; Streptophyta; Magnoliopsida; Arecales; Arecaceae. The record is from RNAcentral.
UAAUUUUGAUUAGGUUGCUUAGUGAUUUGAGUUCACCCAUGCUAUCUAGAUUAGUCAGUCUUAUGGAUGGGCUGACUAAUUAAGGUGUAACCUUAAUAUGUUUGUCUUCUUAAAUGAAUUAGGAAAGUCAGUAGGAGGAUCUUAUGUAAUAAAUUGAAACUCGCAUAUAAUAAAUUUUUUAAAUUAUUAGAUCCUUAAAAUGAGAUAGUGAUAGGAAUAACUAGAUCAUAGCCUCCCAUUAAGGUGGAUGAUAAUCAAUCCAAUAGUCUGGAUA